GACGAGGUGGCCGAGAGGUUAAGGCGAUGGACUGCUAAUCCAUUGUGCUCUGCAUGGUUCGAAUCCCAUCCUCGUCG
This 77-nucleotide transfer RNA is filed under the name Takifugu rubripes (torafugu). RNAcentral describes it as "tRNA-Ser (GCT) (tRNA-Ser-GCT-11-1)". It matches the Rfam family "tRNA". From Rfam's summary of the family: Transfer RNA (tRNA) molecules are approximately 80 nucleotides in length. Their secondary structure includes four short double-helical elements and three loops (D, anti-codon, and T loops). Further hydrogen bonds mediate the characteristic L-shaped molecular structure. tRNAs have two regions of fundamental functional importance: the anti-codon, which is responsible for specific mRNA codon recognition, and the 3' end, to which the tRNAs corresponding amino acid is attached (by aminoacyl-tRNA synthetases). tRNAs cope with the degeneracy of the genetic code in two manners: having more than one tRNA (with a specific anti-codon) for a particular amino acid; and 'wobble' base-pairing, i.e. permitting non-standard base-pairing at the 3rd anti-codon position. The record is from RNAcentral. Lineage: Eukaryota; Metazoa; Chordata; Actinopteri; Tetraodontiformes; Tetraodontidae.